This is a long non-coding RNA of Cyprinus carpio carpio, 484 nucleotides long. The record is from Ensembl. Lineage: Eukaryota; Metazoa; Chordata; Actinopteri; Cypriniformes; Cyprinidae.
AAUCUGCUCUGGUUUUUGCGGUUUCUGAUCCAUCACCUUCCUGGGCAUUUUGUGAGAAACCGUUUGCUUCACUUUGGUGUUUGGUGAGGUUAAGCCUUGUUUCAGUAUUUGUGAGAUGUUGGCUCUGAAUUUCUGAGGAACCAUGCACCAACAGGAAGUCUAACUGCUUCUGUAGACCAAUGCUUUCUCCGAUAUCUAUGCCGUUUUGGUACUGAACCACAGCCUUUCACCCUCCUUUGGACUAACUAUGUAGGGCAGCCAGCAACAAAUCUGUCAUUUCUGCUUCUCUGCCGGCCGGUACAGACAAAGCCAUAGACAUUCUCCAGGAGCCGCUGAGAUGAAAAGUUGCUUUUUGAACUGAAGACUAACCUGUGUCCCUUACAAUAUUUACAAAGUCAUGCAUUUUGUAUUAUGCAUCACCGUUUCCCUUAUUGUAAAACCAAGCCCAGCUGUACCUGGUUGUAUGUGUGUGUGUGUGUGUGUG